UCGUCACACUAUCAUUAACUGAAUCCAUAGGUUAAUGAGGCGAACCGGGGGAACUGAAACAUCUAAGUACCCCGAGGAAAAGAAAUCAACCGAGAUUCCCCCAGUAGCGGCGAGCGAACGGGGAGGAGCCCAGAGCCUGAAUCAGCAUGUGUGUUAGUGGAAGCGUCUGGAAAGGCGCGCGAUACAGGGUGACAGCCCCGUACACAAAAGCGCAUGUGCUGUGAGCUCGAUGAGUAGGGCGGGACACGUGGUAUCCUGUCUGAAUAUGGGGGGACCAUCCUCCAAGGCUAAAUACUCCUGACUGACCGAUAGUGAACCAGUACCGUGAGGGAAAGGCGAAAAGAACCCCGGCGAGGGGAGUGAAAAAGAACCUGAAACCGUGUACGUACAAGCAGUGGGAGCACCCUUUGGGUGUGACUGCGUACCUUUUGUAUAAUGGGUCAGCGACUUAUAUUCUGUAGCAAGGUUAACCGAAUAGGGGAGCCGGAGGGAAACCGAGUCUUAAUUGGGCGUUAAGUUGCAGGGUAUAGACCCGAAACCCGGUGAUCUAGCCAUGGGCAGGUUGAAGGUUGGGUAACACUAACUGGAGGACCGAACCGACUAAUGUUGAAAAAUUAGCGGAUGACCUGUGGCUGGGGGUGAAAGGCCAAUCAAACCGGGAGAUAGCUGGUUCUCCCCGAAAGCUAUUUAGGUAGCGCCUCGUGAAUUCAUCUCCGGGGGUAGAGCACUGUUUCGGCUAGGGGGCCAUCCCGGCUUACCAACCCGAUGCAAACUGCGAAUACCGGAGAAUGUUAUCACGGGAGACACACGGCGGGUGCUAACGUCCGUCGUGAAGAGGGAAACAACCCAGACCGCCAGCUAAGGUCCCAAAGUCAUGGUUAAGUGGGAAACGAUGUGGGAAGGCCCAGACAGCCAGGAUGUUGGCUUAGAAGCAGCCAUCAUUUAAAGAAAGCGUAAUAGCUCACUGGUCGAGUCGGCCUGCGCGGAAGAUGUAACGGGGCUAAACCAUGCACCGAAGCUGCGGCAGCGACACUGUGUGUUGUUGGGUAGGGGAGCGUUCUGUAAGCCUGUGAAGGUGUGUCGUGAGGCAUGCUGGAGGUAUCAGAAGUGCGAAUGCUGACAUAAGUAACGAUAAAGCGGGUGAAAAGCCCGCUCGCCGGAAGACCAAGGGUUCCUGUCCAACGUUAAUCGGGGCAGGGUGAGUCGACCCCUAAGGCGAGGCCGAAAGGCGUAGUCGAUGGGAAACGGGUUAAUAUUCCCGUACUUGGUGUUACUGCGAAGGGGGGACGGAGAAGGCUAUGUUGGCCGGGCGACGGUUGUCCCGGUUUAAGCGUGUAGGUGUGUGUUCCAGGUAAAUCCGGUUCACUUUAACACUGAGGCGUGACGACGAGGCACUACGGUGCUGAAGCAACAAAUGCCCUGCUUCCAGGAAAAGCCUCUAAGCAUCAGGUAACAUCAAAUCGUACCCCAAACCGACACAGGUGGUCAGGUAGAGAAUACCAAGGCGCUUGAGAGAACUCGGGUGAAGGAACUAGGCAAAAUGGUGCCGUAACUUCGGGAGAAGGCACGCUGACACGUAGGUGAAGUGAUUUACUCAUGGAGCUGAAGUCAGUCGAAGAUACCAGCUGGCUGCAACUGUUUAUUAAAAACACAGCACUGUGCAAACACGAAAGUGGACGUAUACGGUGUGACGCCUGCCCGGUGCCGGAAGGUUAAUUGAUGGGGUCAGCGCAAGCGAAGCUCCUGAUCGAAGCCCCGGUAAACGGCGGCCGUAACUAUAACGGUCCUAAGGUAGCGAAAUUCCUUGUCGGGUAAGUUCCGACCUGCACGAAUGGCGUAAUGAUGGCCAGGCUGUCUCCACCCGAGACUCAGUGAAAUUGAACUCGCUGUGAAGAUGCAGUGUACCCGCGGCAAGACGGAAAGACCCCGUGAACCUUUACUAUAGCUUGACACUGAACAUUGAGCCUUGAUGUGUAGGAUAGGUGGGAGGCUUUGAAGUGUGGACGCCAGUCUGCAUGGAGCCGACCUUGAAAUACCACCCUUUAAUGUUUGAUGUUCUAACGUGGACCCGUUACCCGGGUUGCGGACAGUGUCUGGUGGGUAGUUUGACUGGGGCGGUCUCCUCCUAAAGAGUAACGGAGGAGCACGAAGGUUGGCUAAUCCUGGUCGGACAUCAGGAGGUUAGUGCAAUGGCAUAAGCCAGCUUGACUGCGAGCGUGACGGCGCGAGCAGGUGCGAAAGCAGGUCAUAGUGAUCCGGUGGUUCUGAAUGGAAGGGCCAUCGCUCAACGGAUAAAAGGUACUCCGGGGAUAACAGGCUGAUACCGCCCAAGAGUUCAUAUCGACGGCGGUGUUUGGCACCUCGAUGUCGGCUCAUCACAUCCUGGGGCUGAAGUAGGUCCCAAGGGUAUGGCUGUUCGCCAUUUAAAGUGGUACGCGAGCUGGGUUUAGAACGUCGUGAGACAGUUCGGUCCCUAUCUGCCGUGGGCGCUGGAGAACUGAGGGGGGCUGCUCCUAGUACGAGAGGACCGGAGUGGACGCAUCACUGGUGUUCGGGUUGUCAUGCCAAUGGCACUGCCCGGUAGCUAAAUGCGGAAGAGAUAAGUGCUGAAAGCAUCUAAGCACGAAACUUGCCCCGAG
This 2639-nucleotide ribosomal RNA is filed under the name Salmonella enterica subsp. enterica serovar Enteritidis. RNAcentral describes it as "partial 23S ribosomal RNA". It matches the Rfam family "Bacterial large subunit ribosomal RNA". Lineage: Bacteria; Pseudomonadati; Pseudomonadota; Gammaproteobacteria; Enterobacterales; Enterobacteriaceae. The record is from RNAcentral.